AUGUUUAUCAUGCCGAUCUCAAUAUUACAUUUUGUAAUUAAUUAUUUAAUUUUAUCACGAUUUUGGAUAAAUGAAUACGCAAUUAAGAACACUUAUAUUAGACAUAAAGCUCAGAAUCUAACACAGUAUAGGUCAAGGCGUAUAAUGGAAGCAGUUGACUUUGAACAUAUAGAUACACGUGAAAGAAGCGAAGCUGAAUCAAUGGGAGAAUUUAAUACGGUGAAAAGUAAAUGUAAAGAAAAAUUGAAAACAGUUAAAUUGGAUACUGUAAAUAAGGUAGAAAAACAGAAAGUUGCAUAUUUCGAUGACGAUGACAUAGAAGAGUUCAACGAAAUACAUGCCGAUGCUAGCACAUUAGCUGAUGACGAAAGCGACUAUGAUAACGAUUAUGAAAAUUUUGAAAAAUGGAAAUCAUUACAUCAAUAUUCCAACACAUUAGAAGAUAAAGAAAACCAAUAUGAUCAAAAUUAUGACAAUAUAGAAAUAAUAGAACCGUUACAUACAGAUAUAAGCACAUUAGCUGAUGAAGAAAAAGAGUUUGACCUCGAUUAUGAAAUAAUGAAAGAAUGGAAAUCAUUAUAUCAAUAUCCCAGCAUAUUAAAAGAUAAAAAAAAUAAAUAUGAUAAACAUUAUGACAAUGUAGAAAUAAUGGAAGCAUUACAUACAGAUCCCAAAAAAUUAGUAGAUACAGAAAAGAAAUAUUCUAUAGAUUAUGAUGAAUUAAUAAAGCAAAGAAUGUAUAAAAAUAAACUUUUAAAAAAUAAAUUAUUAAUUGCAGAGAGAGAUACACAUAAAUCAUUAAAAAAAAAAGUACAUAAUUUAAAGUUAAUAAAUGAUUUAACUAUAAAAAAUGACAUGAUACUAGAAAAUAUAUUAAACGACACAUCAUAUUUCAAAGAAAAGGAUGAAAAAAAAAAUAAAAAAAAAUUAACUGAAUGUCCAGAUAUUGAAUUGAUAAAACAGAAUAUAUCACAAUUGCAAGAAGCAAUUGAUAUAAAAUUAAAAAGUGAUUUAGCGAAAUCGGAAACUUUGGUAGAUAAUUUUUUAAAUGAUGGAAUAACUUCUAUUGACUUUUUAAUCGAUGAAACAUUUUAUGAUCAAAUAGAAAAUUCUGAAAUACUUAAAAAUGAAUUAUUUGAAAAUGAAAUCAAAAAGCUAAAAUUUUUGAUUGAUAAAUUAGCAGAGGACGAAUUAAUAGAUUAUGAUAAAUUAGUUGAUGAAAAUAUCACAAUGGAAUCAAUUUUGAAUAUAGUAGAUAACAUAAACAUUGAAAAUUAUGCAAAAAGACAGAUAAAAAAAUUAGUUGUCGAAUAUAUGGAUACCAAUGAUCCAUUUGAACAAGUUGAUACAUAUGCUAACAUCAAACAAUAUUUAAACAAACAAUUACAUCCAAAAUCUAUAGAUAAACUUGCUAAAUAUCUUAAAUUACAUCAAACUCGUAAACAUAUAUUGCAUUCAAAACUUUGGAAAACUGUAACAAGUCCUAAAAUAAUAACUUACAUAAGAAAUUAUUUAAUAUUAGAUAUAAUCAUAUUUAUAUUGAUUUUUAGCAUAUGUGGAACAAUGCCGUCUUUAAUAUAUGUUACAUUUGGUAUACUUGUUGCAUUAUAUUUAGGAUUAACUUAUAAGCCACAGACAUUAGGACUUAUUAGAAAAAUUAAAAAAAAAUUUACUGCAUUUCGACAAAAAGUAGAAGACAUGUUUAAAGGAUGUAGUAGGUGCGAUAAGGACAUAACAAUUUGAAAUGAUAUAUAUAUAUAUAUAUAUAUAUAUAUAUAUUUAUAUAUUUUAAAUGAGAGAUAAAAACCUAACUAUGUAAAAAAAUAAUGUAUAUAUAAAUAUAUCCUAAAUAAGGGAUAAGGACAUAUUGUGCCAUUUUAUUUGUAGUUUUUUUUUUUUUUUUUAGGAAUUUAUAUUUUAAAUAUACAUCCGUUAUUUACAUCAAUUUAGAUUAGUUUUAAAAUUAUAUUAAUUAUUAAAUGGUUUAUAACUUUAGAUUUAUUACUAUGGCUUGCAUAUAAAAUAAACAUUUCGACAUCACUAUUUUAUGUAUACA
Molecule: long non-coding RNA, 2056 nt
Filed under: Piliocolobus tephrosceles (Ugandan red Colobus)
Lineage: Eukaryota; Metazoa; Chordata; Mammalia; Primates; Cercopithecidae
Description: lncRNA (ENSPTEG00000026614.1)
Source: RNAcentral